Molecule: ribosomal RNA, 601 nt
Filed under: uncultured Candidatus Saccharibacteria bacterium
Lineage: Bacteria; Candidatus Saccharimonadota
Description: bacterial SSU rRNA
Rfam family: Bacterial small subunit ribosomal RNA
Source: RNAcentral
AUUGGGCGUAAAGAGUUGCGUAGGUGGCAGAGUAUGUCUGUAGUGAAAGCGUGUGGCUCAACCAUAUACACAUUACAGAAACUGCUCAGCUAGAGGGCGAGAGAGGUUACUAGAAUUCCUUGUGUAGGAGUGAAAUCCGUAGAUAUAAGGAGGAAUACCGAUGGCGUAGGCAGGUAACUGGCUCGUCCCUGACACUAAGGCACGAAAGCGUGGGGAGCAAACGGGAUUAGAUACCCCGGUAGUCCACGCCGUAAACGAUGGAUGCUAGCUGUAAGAGGUAUCGACCCCUCUUGUAGCGAAGCUAACGCGUUAAGCAUCCCGCCUGUGGAGUACGGUCGCAAGACUAAAACAUAAAGGAAUUGACGGGGACCCGCACAAGCGGUGGAGCGUGUUGUUUAAUUCGAUGGUAAACGAAGAACCUUACCCAGGUUUGACAUCCUUGGAAUUUUGCCGAAAGGCGAGAGUGCUUUAUUGAGCCAAGUGACAGGUGUUGCAUGGCCGUCGUCAGCUCGUGUCGUGAGAUGUUUGGUUAAGUCCAUCAACGAGCGCAACCCUUAUAGUCUGUUGUAUUUUUCAGGCUAGACUGCCCCGGUAACGGGGA